ACGAACAAGUUGGAAACGACUGCUAAUACCGCAUACGAUCUAAUCUCGGCAUCGAGGAUAGAUGAAAGGUGGCCUCUACAUGUAAGCUAUCACUGAAGGAGGGGAUUGCGUCUGAUUAGCUAGUUGGAGGGGUAACGGCCCACCAAGGCGAUGAUCAGUAGCCGGUCUGAGAGGAUGAACGGCCACAUUGGGACUGAGACACGGCCCAG
Molecule: ribosomal RNA, 209 nt
Filed under: uncultured bacterium
Lineage: Bacteria
Description: partial 16S ribosomal RNA
Rfam family: Bacterial small subunit ribosomal RNA
Source: RNAcentral